UGAAAGGUGUCAGGACGCAGACAGCUGUCAGACUCCAGCGAUGCAUUCUAAGUAACCUUCCUGUCAAUGGGGAGGGCAACAAAGGAGGGAGGGUUGACCCGCCAAUACUGCUGUCAGAUACACCAGGAAUUUGAAAAAUCACACCAUGUGUGUUUAUGCGUCAUGCAGCUUGGUUAUGUGCGGUCUCGUCUUUUUCUCAUUCUAAUCUGCUUUAAGCAGCUGUGACUAAAUGCUGAAUCUAUAUUCGUUUUUAAUAUCUUUCAGUGUGGAAAUGUAUGCUGUAGGCUGUGAAAGUGGAAACUGAAAAUGAAAGGGAACCUGCUCAUCAAUGAUCCGUCUUAUCUGGAUGCCAAACACUAUCGGGCAGAACUCCACCUCAUCUCCGGUCCAACAACAGUUCCUUACUCCACCUCCACCUCCACCUGCCCACGUCUCUCCCCCUGCCGGGGGACACACCGCCGAUGAGCCCACUGACGUGAUGAGAACUACUCUUACAGAGACUCCCGCUGUUCCUCAUCACGGGCCGCAGCGUCCGGGCUGAUGGAGCAGCGGGCCGGGGAUCUGUUCCUACACGCUCUGUUAAACAUCCGCCUCCUCCACUGCUCAAAGAUGAGGAGGCUUAAUACGAGGCCAACGUUUCAAUCCUUUCCCAUGUUUGUAUUAGGAAUUAUACCAGUUUGUCAAAUAUAGAACUAGACCCAAGGGACUCAUGUAUGUAUUGGAAGUCACUGUAAUAAAAUAUAAAACAAAUAAUGAUCAGUCAUCUAAUUUAAUGUUUCAUAUUUCCAAAAUAGAAUCUCACUGUGACUAAACUGACACUGUAAAACUCAAAUUUGAACAGUUAAAUAAAUUAUAAUUGGUCUCCAAGAAUAAGUAGCUUUCCUUAUUUCUAAAUAUAAACGGAUAUGUGAUGUACUGAGCUGUGAGUGAUCCAAGACAAAAUUCUUUUUGGGGUUUUUAAACAUUCAGAUGUUGCUGAAUAAAUUACGAACAUGAAGCCAGUUAAAAACGCUGCAUCUUAAAUUAUGAAUCAACCUAAUAUCUCAAUUGUGUUUAACCUGUAAAAAAUACACAAUUCACUAAAUCCUUUUUUUGCAUUUCGUGUAUAAAUGUACUACAGUUAAUAAAUGUAGAUGGAAUGUGA
Molecule: long non-coding RNA, 1144 nt
Organism: Pungitius pungitius (ninespine stickleback)
Lineage: Eukaryota; Metazoa; Chordata; Actinopteri; Perciformes; Gasterosteidae
Exons: 2
Source: RefSeq, a predicted model, not a curated record